GGGUAGAUUCUUGCAGACAUGCAUAUACCUUGCCAGAGUUCAAGAAAUUGAAGUUUGCACCUUUGAGAGUUCAAGGGAGAUCACUGUAAAGACACUUCAACGAUUUGCCGAACAAGUAUCAAUUAGUUGUGUAAAAGUAAGAAUAAUGCACGAACGUCCUCUCCUGUUGUUUCUCUAGACGUUUGACGUGCUGAGGAGUGCACCUAACAAAACAAGCGGCAUCCACUAUGAGAAGGAACUAAGGGAACUUUGGGGAUGGAGAAUUAGAAGAUUACUAGUAUUUUCCCGGAGGACGAGGAUUACUCUGCGGUCAUUUGACUAAACCAUUUUUCAAAACAUUCUCCGGCAUGUUUUUAAAAUGUUAUCAUGACCAUACAAAAUCAUAUUAUUAAAACGUUUUUACAAAUAGUUUAGAUAUUCUUAAUUUUUGUAUGUCAUUCAUAAAAGAUUUUAUGAACAUUGUAUAAUUCGUUACCAUGAUAUCUAAGAUAUCACAAAUAAAUGAUAACAUUUAUUUUUUGUUUUCGAGAUAUUGUUUCCAUGUUUUAAAAAUAUUUUUAAAAUAUUGUGUUGCUACCUGGAAUUGUGUAUAAUUGUAAUAUGC
Long non-coding RNA from Ostrea edulis (European flat oyster), 604 nucleotides. RefSeq lists it as uncharacterized. NCBI's taxonomy places the organism in Eukaryota, Metazoa, Mollusca, Bivalvia, Ostreida, Ostreidae. The record is from RefSeq and is a predicted model, not a curated record. The transcript has 3 exons.